This 1372-nucleotide ribosomal RNA is filed under the name uncultured bacterium. Its description in RNAcentral is "bacterial SSU rRNA". It matches the Rfam family "Bacterial small subunit ribosomal RNA", at positions 28 to 1381 of the family's 1533-position model. The record is from RNAcentral.
GAUGAACGCUGGCGGCGUGCCUAAUACAUGCAAGUCGAGCGAACGGACGAGAAGCUUGCUUCUCUGAUGUUAGCGGCGGACGGGUGAGUAACACGUGGAUAACCUACCUAUAAGACUGGGAUAACUUCGGGAAACCGGAGCUAAUACCGGAUAAUAUUUUGAACCGCAUGGUUCAAAAGUGAAAGACGGUCUUGCUGUCAUUUAUAGAUGGAUCCGCGCUGCAUUAGCUAGUUGGUAAGGUAACGGCUUACCAAGGCAACGAUGCAUAGCCGACCUGAGAGGGUGAUCGGCCACACUGGAACUGAGACACGGUCCAGACUCCUACGGGAGGCAGCAGUAGGGAAUCUUCCGCAAUGGGCGAAAGCCUGACGGAGCAACGCCGCGUGAGUGAUGAAGGUCUUCGGAUCGUAAAACUCUGUUAUUAGGGAAGAACAUAUGUGUAAGUAACUGUGCACAUCUUGACGGUACCUAAUCAGAAAGCCACGGCUAACUACGUGCCAGCAGCCGCGGUAAUACGUAGGUGGCAAGCGUUAUCCGGAAUUAUUGGGCGUAAAGCGCGCGUAGGCGGUUUUUUAAGUCUGAUGUGAAAGCCCACGGCUCAACCGUGGAGGGUCAUUGGAAACUGGAAAACUUGAGUGCAGAAGAGGAAAGUGGAAUUCCAUGUGUAGCGGUGAAAUGCGCAGAGAUAUGGAGGAACACCAGUGGCGAAGGCGACUUUCUGGUCUGUAACUGACGCUGAUGUGCGAAAGCGUGGGGAUCAAACAGGAUUAGAUACCCUGGUAGUCCACGCCGUAAACGAUGAGUGCUAAGUGUUAGGGGGUUUCCGCCCCUUAGUGCUGCAGCUAACGCAUUAAGCACUCCGCCUGGGGAGUACGACCGCAAGGUUGAAACUCAAAGGAAUUGACGGGGACCCGCACAAGCGGUGGAGCAUGUGGUUUAAUUCGAAGCAACGCGAAGAACCUUACCAAAUCUUGACAUCCUUUGACAACUCUAGAGAUAGAGCCUUCCCCUUCGGGGGACAAAGUGACAGGUGGUGCAUGGUUGUCGUCAGCUCGUGUCGUGAGAUGUUGGGUUAAGUCCCGCAACGAGCGCAACCCUUAAGCUUAGUUGCCAUCAUUAAGUUGGGCACUCUAAGUUGACUGCCGGUGACAAACCGGAGGAAGGUGGGGAUGACGUCAAGUCAUCAUGCCCCUUAUGAUUUGGGCUACACACGUGCUACAAUGGACAAUACAAAGGGCAGCGAGACCGCGAGGUCAAGCAAAUCCCAUAAAGUUGUUCUCAGUUCGGAUUGUAGUCUGCAACUCGACUACAUGAAGCUGGAAUCGCUAGUAAUCGUAGAUCAGCAUGCUACGGUGAAUACGUUCCCGGGUCU